Dromaius novaehollandiae (emu) is the source of this 644-nucleotide long non-coding RNA. RefSeq lists it as uncharacterized. The record is from RefSeq and is a predicted model, not a curated record. The transcript has 2 exons. NCBI's taxonomy places the organism in Eukaryota, Metazoa, Chordata, Aves, Casuariiformes, Dromaiidae.
GGAGCGGGCUGCGGUUGGCGGAGCCGGUCGGCUUCUUUUCUCACCUCUCCUCCUCCCUGUCCGCUCUCCGCCCCGCGGGCCCCGCCCCGCGGCGAGCGGGACUCGUGCAAAGCUGCCAAAUGCUUCACACUUGUACGUCCAUCCCCACGGCUAUGUCGUGCAGCUCAACUGUCCCUCCCGUGGCCACACCUCGACACCAGGGAUCUUAGGAGCCCCGCAGUCCGCCUCAUCCCGUAACCAGGCAUGGCUAAGACGUCCCCUUCACAACGAGUAGGGAAGAAAAUAAUACUACGCUUAGGUCUAACUCUCACAAAUGCAACAGCCUUCUUUUAUUCUCCCCCAUCACCACAGUACAGCCAAGAGAACGAAUCCAUUGCUAGCCUGAAGUUUGUGAGUUGUCAGUGAAAGCAAAGCAGAAGGCAAGAGCGGUGGGGCAACAGGUGGGGUUGGUGUGGUGCCUGCGUGUUUCGUCCUCACUCCCUGCAGCCUGAGUGCUCGGGGAUUUCAGUAGUGGCCUCACCUUCAGAGCCGCUGAGCAGGAAGAAAGGUGGUUUUCUGGGAGGCAAGGUGAUGUUUCUUGCAGCUGGCUGUUAAUUCAAUUACUCACACAGCAAUAAAGUUAUUGUUACGUUGAAUGCUUUAAA